RNAcentral lists this ribosomal RNA (2893 nucleotides) under Cronobacter dublinensis subsp. lactaridi LMG 23825. Its description in RNAcentral is "bacterial LSU rRNA". It matches the Rfam family "Bacterial large subunit ribosomal RNA". Lineage: Bacteria; Pseudomonadati; Pseudomonadota; Gammaproteobacteria; Enterobacterales; Enterobacteriaceae. The record is from RNAcentral.
ACAAGCGUACACGGUGGAUGCCCUGGCAGUCAGAGGCGAUGAAGGACGUGCUAAUCUGCGAAAAGCGCCGGUAAGGUGAUAUGAACCGUUACAGCCGGCGAUGUCUGAAUGGGGAAACCCAGUGUGAUUCGUCACACUAUCUCAGCAUGAAUACAUAGUGCUGUGAGGCGAACCGGGGGAACUGAAACAUCUAAGUACCCCGAGGAAAAGAAAUCAACCGAGAUUCCCCCAGUAGCGGCGAGCGAACGGGGAACAGCCCAGAGCCUGAAUCAGCUUGUGUGUCAGUGGAACGGUCUGGAAAGGCCGGCGAUACAGGGUGACAGCCCCGUACACGAAGGCACACAGGCUGUGAGCUCGAUGAGUAGGGCGGGACACGUGAUAUCCUGUCUGAAGAUGGGGGGACCAUCCUCCAAGGCUAAAUACUCCUGACUGACCGAUAGUGAACCAGUACCGUGAGGGAAAGGCGAAAAGAACCCCGGCGAGGGGAGUGAAACAGAACCUGAAACCGUGUACGUACAAGCAGUGGGAGCCUUCGUAAGAGGGUGACUGCGUACCUUUUGUAUAAUGGGUCAGCGACUUAUAUUCUGUAGCAAGGUUAACCGUAUAGGGGAGCCGAAGGGAAACCGAGUCUUAACCGGGCGUUAAGUUGCAGGGUAUAGACCCGAAACCCGGUGAUCUAGCCAUGGGCAGGUUGAAGGUUGGGUAACACUAACUGGAGGACCGAACCGACUAAUGUUGAAAAAUUAGCGGAUGACCUGUGGCUGGGGGUGAAAGGCCAAUCAAACCGGGAGAUAGCUGGUUCUCCCCGAAAGCUAUUUAGGUAGCGCCUCGUGAACUCAUCUUCGGGGGUAGAGCACUGUUUCGGCUAGGGGGCCAUCCCGGCUUACCAACCCGAUGCAAACUACGAAUACCGAAGAAUGUUAUCACGGGAGACACACGGCGGGUGCUAACGUCCGUCGUGAAGAGGGAAACAACCCAGACCGCCAGCUAAGGUCCCAAAGUCAUGGUUAAGUGGGAAACGAUGUGGGAAGGCACAGACAGCCAGGAUGUUGGCUUAGAAGCAGCCAUCAUUUAAAGAAAGCGUAAUAGCUCACUGGUCGAGUCGGCCUGCGCGGAAGAUGUAACGGGGCUAAACCAUGCACCGAAGCUGCGGCAGCGACACUUAUGUGUUGUUGGGUAGGGGAGCGUUCUGUAAGCCUGUGAAGGUGUGCUGUGAGGCAUGCUGGAGGUAUCAGAAGUGCGAAUGCUGACAUAAGUAACGAUAAAGCGGGUGAAAAGCCCGCUCGCCGGAAGACCAAGGGUUCCUGUCCAACGUUAAUCGGGGCAGGGUGAGUCGACCCCUAAGGCGAGGCCGAAAGGCGUAGUCGAUGGGAAACAGGUUAAUAUUCCUGUACUUGGUGUUACUGCGAAGGGGGGACGGAGAAGGCUAUGUUGGCCGGGCGACGGUUGUCCCGGUUUAAGCGUGUAGGUGUGUGUUCCAGGUAAAUCCGGUUCACUUUAACACUGAGGCGUGAUGACGAGGCACUACGGUGCUGAAGUAACAAAUGCCCUGCUUCCAGGAAAAGCCUCUAAGCAUCAGGUAACACGAAAUCGUACCCCAAACCGACACAGGUGGUCAGGUAGAGAAUACCAAGGCGCUUGAGAGAACUCGGGUGAAGGAACUAGGCAAAAUGGUGCCGUAACUUCGGGAGAAGGCACGCUGACAUGUAGGUGAAGCCCCUGCGGGUGGAGCUGAAGUCAGUCGAAGAUACCAGCUGGCUGCAACUGUUUAUUAAAAACACAGCACUGUGCAAACACGAAAGUGGACGUAUACGGUGUGACGCCUGCCCGGUGCCGGAAGGUUAAUUGAUGGGGUUAUCGCAAGAGAAGCUCCUGAUCGAAGCCCCGGUAAACGGCGGCCGUAACUAUAACGGUCCUAAGGUAGCGAAAUUCCUUGUCGGGUAAGUUCCGACCUGCACGAAUGGCGUAAUGAUGGCCAGGCUGUCUCCACCCGAGACUCAGUGAAAUUGAACUCGCUGUGAAGAUGCAGUGUACCCGCGGCAAGACGGAAAGACCCCGUGAACCUUUACUACAGCUUGACACUGAACAUUGAGCCUUGAUGUGUAGGAUAGGUGGGAGGCUUUGAAGCGUGGACGCCAGUCUGCGUGGAGCCAACCUUGAAAUACCACCCUUUAAUGUUUGAUGUUCUAACCUGGCGCCCUAAUCGGGCGUGGGGACAGUGUCUGGUGGGUAGUUUGACUGGGGCGGUCUCCUCCCAAAGUGUAACGGAGGAGCACGAAGGUCAGCUAAUCCUGGUCGGACAUCAGGAGGUUAGUGCAAUGGCAUAAGCUGGCUUGACUGCGAGAGUGACGGCUCGAGCAGGUGCGAAAGCAGGUCAUAGUGAUCCGGUGGUUCUGUAUGGAAGGGCCAUCGCUCAACGGAUAAAAGGUACUCCGGGGAUAACAGGCUGAUACCGCCCAAGAGUUCAUAUCGACGGCGGUGUUUGGCACCUCGAUGUCGGCUCAUCACAUCCUGGGGCUGAAGUAGGUCCCAAGGGUAUGGCUGUUCGCCAUUUAAAGUGGUACGCGAGCUGGGUUUAGAACGUCGUGAGACAGUUCGGUCCCUAUCUGCCGUGGGCGCUGGAGAAUUGAGGGGGGCUGCUCCCAGUACGAGAGGACCGGAGUGGACGCAUCACUGGUGUUCGGGUUGUCAUGCCAAUGGCACUGCCCGGUAGCUAAAUGCGGAAGAGAUAAGUGCUGAAAGCAUCUAAGCACGAAACUUGCCCCGAGAUGAGUUCUCCCUGAGACUAUAAGUCUCCUGAAGGAACGUUGAAGACGACGACGUUGAUAGGCCGGGUGUGUAAGCGCAGCGAUGCGUUGAGCUAACCGGUACUAAUGAACCGUGAGGCUUAACC